AAGAGCUUGCUCUUAUGAAGUUAGCGGCGGACGGGUGAGUAACACGUGGGUAACCUGCCCAUAAGACUGGGAUAACUCCGGGAAACCGGGGCUAAUACCGGAUAACAUUUUGCACUGCAUGGUGCGAAAUUGAAAGGCGGCUUCGGCUGUCACUUAUGGAUGGACCCGCGUCGCAUUAGCUAGUUGGUGAGGUAACGGCUCACCAAGGCAACGAUGCGUAGCCGACCUGAGAGGGUGAUCGGCCACACUGGGACUGAGACACGGCCCAGACUCCUACGGGAGGCAGCAGUAGGGAAUCUUCCGCAAUGGACGAAAGUCUGACGGAGCAACGCCGCGUGAGUGAUGAAGGCUUUCGGGUCGUAAAACUCUGUUGUUAGGGAAGAACAAGUGCUAGUUGAAUAAGCUGGCACCUUGACGGUACCUAACCAGAAAGCCACGGCUAACUACGUGCCAGCAGCCGCGGUAAUACGUAGGUGGCAAGCGUUAUCCGGAAUUAUUGGGCGUAAAGCGCGCGCAGGUGGUUUCUUAAGUCUGAUGUGAAAGCCCACGGCUCAACCGUGGAGGGUCAUUGGAAACUGGGAGACUUGAGUGCAGAAGAGGAAAGUGGAAUUCCAUGUGUAGCGGUGAAAUGCGUAGAGAUAUGGAGGAACACCAGUGGCGAAGGCGACUUUCUGGUCU
This 678-nucleotide ribosomal RNA is filed under the name Bacillus sp. JC401. RNAcentral's name for it is "bacterial SSU rRNA". It matches the Rfam family "Bacterial small subunit ribosomal RNA", at positions 74 to 735 of the family's 1533-position model. Lineage: Bacteria; Bacillati; Bacillota; Bacilli; Caryophanales; Bacillaceae. The record is from RNAcentral.